RNAcentral lists this ribosomal RNA (252 nucleotides) under uncultured bacterium. Its description in RNAcentral is "partial 16S ribosomal RNA". It matches the Rfam family "Bacterial small subunit ribosomal RNA", at positions 524 to 776 of the family's 1533-position model. The record is from RNAcentral.
UACGGAGGAUGCGAGCGUUAUCCGGAUUUAUUGGGUUUAAAGGGUGCGCAGGCGGCGUGUCAAGUCAGCGGUAAAAUGUCGGGGCUCAACCCCGGCCGGCCGUUGAAACUGGCGUGCUCGAGUUGGAGAGAAGUAUGCGGAAUUCGUGGUGUAGCGGUGAAAUGCAUAGAUAUCACGAAGAACCCCGAUUGCGAAGGCAGCAUACCGGCUCCACACUGACGCUGAGGCACGAAAGCGGGGGUAUCGAACAGG